This 106-nucleotide small nucleolar RNA is filed under the name Chinchilla lanigera (long-tailed chinchilla). Its description in RNAcentral is "Small nucleolar RNA SNORA40 (ENSCLAG00000018681.1)". It matches the Rfam family "Small nucleolar RNA SNORA40", at positions 22 to 128 of the family's 128-position model. Rfam says of the family: The snoRNA ACA 40 belongs to the H/ACA family of snoRNAs and guides the pseudouridylation of 28S rRNA subunit at position U4565. NB This family has a high threshold value to exclude a large number of closely related sequences that do not appear to have conserved H and ACA boxes, and may be pseudogenes. The record is from Rfam by way of RNAcentral. Lineage: Eukaryota; Metazoa; Chordata; Mammalia; Rodentia; Chinchillidae.
UUCACUUGUGAAAUAAAACUUAAUGGACAGGUGCAAACAAUAAAUUCUGUUUUGCAACCCAGAACUCUGUUCAGUAAGAACUUUGAUACAUAUAGGAAGGAAUUUU